CCUGCCUCUGUGCAUGCAUCUGUCCAUCCAUCCCUGCCUCUGUGCAUGCAUCUGUCCAUUCAUCCCUGCCUCUGUGCAUGCAUCUGUCCAUCCAUCCAUCCCCGCCUCUGUGCAUGCAUCUGUCCAUCCAUCCCUGCCUCUGUGCAUGCAUCUGUCCAUUCAUCCCUGCCUCUGUGCAUGCAUCUGUCCAUCCAUCCAUCCCUGCCUCUGUGCAUGCAUCUGUCCAUUCAUCCCUGCCUCUGUGCAUGCAUCUGUCCAUCCAUCCAUCCCUGCCUCUGUGCAUGCAUCUGUCCAUUCAUCCCUGCCUCUGUGUAUGCAUCUGUCCAUCCAUCCAUCCCCACCUCUGUGCAUGCAUCUGUCCAUCCAUCCCCGCCUCUGUGCAUGCAUCUGUCCGUCCAUCCAUCCCUGCCUCUGUGCAUGCAUCUGUCCGUCCAUUCAUCCCUGCCUCUGUGCAUGCAUCUGUCCAUUCAUCCAUCCCUGACUCUGUGCAUGCAUCUGUCCAUCCAUCCAUCCUUGCCUCUAUGCAUGCAUUUGUCCGUCCAUCCAUCCCUGCCUCUGUGCAUGCAUCCAUACCUGCCUCUGUGCAUGCAUCUGUCAGUCUAUCAAUCCCCGAUCCCUUCUUUGUAAUGGUGUUGAGCGCUCACAACUCCCUCAUCCUAAGACGCUCGUUGGAUCCAUUCCCUCCCCUCACCCCAUGCUGCUCUCUGCCCUCCCUUCCCGGUCAAGUUCUCCAGCCAGUGGUCUCAACUCAAUCUUCACUUCCCCCGCUCCUCUCACACCUAUCCCCACUGCAUUCUAAAUUCUUCCCCAACGCGCUGGGCCUACAGGCACUAAAAAGGUCACUUUGUCCCUGGAUGACCAAACACAGGCCAAUGUAACUUACUGGGCUUGUUUUGCCCCAGCCACAGCUGACCACUUCCUCCUUCACUCUUGUUGUUGAUCACCUUUGGGCUUAGUCUUUCUCCAUCUCUGUUGAGUCCUUCUCCCCUGCCACCUACUCCUUCAUGCUGGGGUUCUCUGUAGCUCUGUACCUGACAGUCACGUUCCACCCUUUCCUCCCAGAAGCUCGCCAACCCCCGUGGACUGCUGGCUCUCAAGGCGGCCGCUAGCCCAGCUCCGACAGCAGCUGACAAUGCACAGUAUGCGGCCCAGGGCAGGCCCUGUGCUGAGAGGCAUGGGUGAAUGGCUCAUUUCAUCGGCAAGCCCACGCCACCAGCAGGCGCCGUUCUCCUCGCAUUUCU
Molecule: long non-coding RNA, 1241 nt
Filed under: Homo sapiens (human)
Lineage: Eukaryota; Metazoa; Chordata; Mammalia; Primates; Hominidae
Description: non-protein coding MMP25-AS1:28
Source: RNAcentral